This 195-nucleotide ribosomal RNA is filed under the name Scutellospora sp. SA3. Its description in RNAcentral is "partial small subunit ribosomal RNA". It matches the Rfam family "Eukaryotic small subunit ribosomal RNA", at positions 34 to 228 of the family's 1831-position model. Lineage: Eukaryota; Fungi; Glomeromycota; Glomeromycetes; Diversisporales; Gigasporaceae. The record is from RNAcentral.
GUCUCAAAGAUUAAGCCAUGCAUGUCUAAGUAUAAAUCAUUUAUACAGGUGAAACUGCGAAUGGCUCAUUAAAUCAGUUAUAGUUUAUUUGAUAGCACAAUUACUACUUGGAUAACCGUGGUAAUUCUAGAGCUAAUACAUGCUAAAAGUCUCGACUUCUGGAAGGGACGUAUUUAUUAGAUAAAAACCAAUAAC